AUGAGCCAAGGAGAAGUGAUGAUAAAUAUGGUGUAAGUGCCUGUUAUUCAUCACACUUGAGGGAAAGGACACCAAGAGCAAGAGAGAAAGACCAAUACAUGACUAGCUUGCCUUGUUAAGCUCCAUGGAUGGUGGGAGGAUCAUUCAGCUGACCAAGUGCAGUAUGAUGAUCCCUCGUUUCUUAUCGUCGGCAGGACUGUGGUGACAGGGAGCAUCAGCAACUGCAAUUUAUACAAGAAGUUUCAGCCUGUCUACGGAUAUGAUGUAGAGCCGAUGCUUCGUGAAUUCAUCUCCCUGCUGCUGCUGAUGGUGCCCCAAGUGGUGGUCCAGUCUAGAGGACAUGUAUUUCUCCUCUAUUUUGAAAUUUUAGAACUGAAUCAAUUUUUCAUCAGUAGACAAGCUGAGUUUAUAGUAUAGAAAUUAUGAGAGGAUUAUGCCUUCUCUUUUCAAUAUGAAUUUCCUUCGUGCAAUUGCCCCAGACCUAAAUUACGAGAGGAUUAUGGAGGCGAUGAAGAUGUAAAUUAUGAGAAGUUGAGUUUAUAGUGUGUAAAUUAGGAGAGGAUUAUGCCUUCUCCUUUCAACAGGA
This is a long non-coding RNA of Triticum aestivum (bread wheat), 586 nucleotides long. RefSeq lists it as uncharacterized. The transcript is spliced from 4 exons. The record is from RefSeq and is a predicted model, not a curated record. NCBI's taxonomy places the organism in Eukaryota, Viridiplantae, Streptophyta, Magnoliopsida, Poales, Poaceae.